Molecule: ribosomal RNA, 319 nt
Filed under: uncultured eukaryote
Lineage: Eukaryota
Description: partial 18S ribosomal RNA
Rfam family: Eukaryotic small subunit ribosomal RNA
Source: RNAcentral
CCCUUAGAUGUUCUGGGCAGCACGCGCGCUACAAUGGUCUUCGCAAACGGAUGCAUUCUCGAAGGAGAAUGCCAAUCUUGGAAUCUAUGCCUUGGUCGGGACAGUUGCUUGCAAUUUUUCGACUCGAACCAGGAAUUCCUUGUAAUCGUGAUUCAUCACAUCACGAUGAAUACGUCCCUGCCCUUUGUACACACCGCCCGUCGCUCCCACCGAUCGAAGAGUUAGGUGAAUUGUUUUGAUCGAUAAGAUUUGACUAUGGUCAACUCUCGUUGUGAAAUUCUGUGAAUCUGACUGUUUAGAGGAAGGAAAAGUCGUAACA